CACGUAGGGGGCAAGCGUUGUCCGGAUUUAUUGGGCGUGAAGAGCUCGUAGGUGGCUUAGUAAGUCGGGUGUGAAACCUCCAGGCUCAACCUGGAGACGCCACCCGAUACUGCUAUAGCUUGAGUCCGGUAGGGGAGCGUGGAAUUCCUGGUGUAGCGGUGAAAUGCGCAGAUAUCAGGAGGAACACCAGCGGCGAAGGCGGCGCUCUGGGCCGGUACUGACACUGAGGAGCGAAAGCGUGGGGAGCAAACAGG
This 254-nucleotide ribosomal RNA is filed under the name uncultured bacterium. RNAcentral's name for it is "partial 16S ribosomal RNA". It matches the Rfam family "Bacterial small subunit ribosomal RNA", at positions 524 to 776 of the family's 1533-position model. The record is from RNAcentral.